GCCCGCUCAGAAACUCAAAGGAAUUGACGGGGCCCGGCACAAGCGGAGGAGCAUGUGGUUUAAUUUCGAUGAUACGCGAGGAACCUUACCUGGGCUCGAACGUAAGAUGACUGUAGGUGAAAGCUUACAUCUCUUCGGAGCAUUUUACGAGGUGCUGCAUGGUUGUCGUCAGCUCGUGCCGUGAGGUGUCGGGUUAAGUCCCAUAACGAGCGCAACCCCUACCUUUAGUUGCCAUCAGGUUAAGCUGGGGACUCUAAAGGAACUGCCUACGCAAGUAGUGAGGAAGGCGGGGAUGACGUCAAAUCAGCACGGCCCUUACGUCCAGGGCUACACACGUGCUACAAUGGCCGAUACAGAGGGCAGCUACCUGGUGACAGGAUGCAAAUCUCCAAAGUCGGUCUCAGUUCGGAUCGGAGUCUGCAACCCGACUCCGUGAAGUUGGAUUCGCUAGUAAUCGCGCAUCAGCCAUGGCGCGGUGAAUACGUUCCCGGGCCUU
Molecule: ribosomal RNA, 496 nt
Filed under: uncultured Sphingobacteriales bacterium
Lineage: Bacteria; Pseudomonadati; Bacteroidota; Sphingobacteriia; Sphingobacteriales
Description: bacterial SSU rRNA
Rfam family: Bacterial small subunit ribosomal RNA
Source: RNAcentral